GGGUCAGUAGGUUGGUCGUGCCACCGGUACGUACUGGUCUCACUGAUUCCUCCUCCCUGAAGAACCGUAAUGCCAUUAAUUUGGUGUUGCGGGGAAACAGGACUGUUACUUUGAAAAAAUUAGAGUGUUUAAAGCAAGCUAACGCUUGAAUACAUUAGCAUGGAAUAAUGAAAUAGGACGAUCGAUCCUAUUUUGUUGGUUUCUAGGAUUGACGUG
Molecule: ribosomal RNA, 216 nt
Filed under: Glomeromycotina sp.
Lineage: Eukaryota; Fungi; Glomeromycota
Description: partial small subunit ribosomal RNA
Rfam family: Eukaryotic small subunit ribosomal RNA (bases 75-216)
Source: RNAcentral